Molecule: ribosomal RNA, 561 nt
Filed under: uncultured bacterium
Lineage: Bacteria
Description: partial 16S ribosomal RNA
Rfam family: Bacterial small subunit ribosomal RNA
Source: RNAcentral
UGGGGAAUAUUGCACAAUGGGCGCAAGCCUGAUGCAGCGACGCCGCGUGAGGGAUGACGGCCUUCGGGUUGUAAACCUCUUUCAAUAGGGACGAAGCGCAAGUGACGGUACCUAUAGAAGAAGGACCGGCCAACUACGUGCCAGCAGCCGCGGUAAUACGUAGGGUCCGAGCGUUGUCCGGAAUUACUGGGCGUAAAGAGCUCGUAGGUGGUUUGUCGCGUUGUUCGUGAAAACUCACAGCUUAACUGUGGGCGUGCGGGCGAUACGGGCAGACUAGAGUACUGCAGGGGAGACUGGAAUUCCUGGUGUAGCGGUGGAAUGCGCAGAUAUCAGGAGGAACACCGGUGGCGAAGGCGGGUCUCUGGGCAGUAACUGACGCUGAGGAGCGAAAGCGUGGGGAGCGAACAGGAUUAGAUACCCUGGUAGUCCACGCCGUAAACGGUGGGUACUAGGUGUGGGUUUCCUUCCUUGGGAUCCGUGCCGUAGCUAACGCAUUAAGUACCCCGCCUGGGGAGUACGGCCGCAAGGCUAAACUCAAAUGAAUUGACGGGGUCAUAGCUG